Tachysurus vachellii is the source of this 599-nucleotide long non-coding RNA. RefSeq lists it as uncharacterized. The transcript has 3 exons. The record is from RefSeq and is a predicted model, not a curated record. NCBI's taxonomy places the organism in Eukaryota, Metazoa, Chordata, Actinopteri, Siluriformes, Bagridae.
GUGUUUCUGACUAAAACUGGUCCAUGUGACCAUCAGAAUACAUGUUACAGCUAAUAGACCAAUCAAAUCAGUUCACAGCUUCAAAACAUCCAAUAAGGUGUGAGUCUGGACCUGGUUUUCUACUGAACACACAAGUUCAUUAGAUCACUUGGUGUGAACAGGAACGAUGAUCAGACUCUUUGUCGCUCUUUGUGCUGUUUUUUCUCUCUUCACAGCUGAAAAACAGAAGACAGCGAUGAAGGAGAAUAUUUCUGUGGAGAAAUGGAAGGAAGUGUAGUGAAGUUCACAUCUAAAAGACGUCUGCAAUUUGAAGGUGAGAGCUGUAGUGCUAACAUGCGUGCGUUCUUCUGGCUCUCCAUUUCAAGAAUCGGAGUUCUCAGCAUUACAGUUAUUACCCUUACAAUGUGCCACAAGGUUUUAAAAUCAAGAUCUUAAACUUGAUAAUUGGCUUUUAACUGUUAUCUGUGUUGCUCUAACUGUAUUUUCCAGUACAUGACAUUUAUUUUUUGUGCUUUUAGCUCAUUCUUGCUCUGCAAUUCCGUUCAAACAUCUUGUGCAGCAACACGUUGUGUGUGUGUGUGUGUGUGUGUGUGUGUGUG